This 75-nucleotide transfer RNA is filed under the name Mycolicibacterium fortuitum. RNAcentral describes it as "tRNA-Glu". It matches the Rfam family "tRNA". Rfam says of the family: Transfer RNA (tRNA) molecules are approximately 80 nucleotides in length. Their secondary structure includes four short double-helical elements and three loops (D, anti-codon, and T loops). Further hydrogen bonds mediate the characteristic L-shaped molecular structure. tRNAs have two regions of fundamental functional importance: the anti-codon, which is responsible for specific mRNA codon recognition, and the 3' end, to which the tRNAs corresponding amino acid is attached (by aminoacyl-tRNA synthetases). tRNAs cope with the degeneracy of the genetic code in two manners: having more than one tRNA (with a specific anti-codon) for a particular amino acid; and 'wobble' base-pairing, i.e. permitting non-standard base-pairing at the 3rd anti-codon position. The record is from RNAcentral. Lineage: Bacteria; Bacillati; Actinomycetota; Actinomycetes; Mycobacteriales; Mycobacteriaceae.
GCCCCGUUCGGAUAUGGGUUAGUCUGCUGCCCUUUCACGGCGGCGGAGCGGGUUCGAGUCCCGCACGGGGUGCCC